CAUGACCAGUGGAAGCUUCGAAGAGCUAUUGCCAAUUUCCACCCUCUCUCUGGAAACUGUCAUUAGGGUUAGGGAAACUGUCAUGAGAUCUGCAUAUUUUAGAUAGAGGCUGCUUGCCUUAUUUGGGCACCUAAUGAAAAAGACAUGGAGGCCAGGUGCGGUGGCUCAUGUCUGUAAUCCCAGCACUUUGGGAGGCCAAGGCGAGUGGAUCACCUGAGGUCAGGAGUUCGAGACCAGCCUGACCAACAUGGCAAAACCCCGUCUGUACUAAAAGUGCAAACACAAAGGGAACUGCGUGGCUUGUUUCUACCUGAACAUUGUCAAGUGAUUUCAUCCUUUGAAACACAGUUGUGAAGUGUGUCCAGCAGUCUGAGAACAAGAAGAAGAAGAAAAUCUAAUCCUUCAGGGUGUCUGUGUGCCAGCCCUGCUCUCAGCACUUCCCAUGUGGAACUCCUUUACUUCUCCUAACAACUCCAUGACAUGGGUUAGACUGUGAUUGUUCCCAUAUUGUUGGUAGGGAAACUGAGGCAUGCAGGUGUUACAGAGCUCUCUCAAGUGGCAAGCUUUCUGGGUGGUUACAGAGUGGCAGAGCUGGGGUAUCCCAUGAUGUCACCACACUGCUAUAUGGAAAAGAACAUUAAUCGAGCACCUACGUGCUUGAUUCUCUUAAUUCUGUGACUGAACUCUCAAAACACCCUGGGUAAGCACUAUCAUCUCCUAUUUUCACAAGUGAAAAAACUGGGAUUCAAAAAAAUUAAGUGACUUACCAAAUAUUACAGAGCUAGUAAGCCAAGACUUGAACACUGAGAUGGAAUUCUACCUUUUAAGGUGGCUAAGCAACAGAAGGAUGUUCCUUUCCCAAGGGGAGCACUGCGUGUUUUGAAAUAUACAAAUAGUGGGAAACGAAAUCUUUGUUCUGGAUGCAGUUAUAAUUUGGAAAGCGAGGAAAUAAAUUAUAACAAGGGGAAAAAACAGGGUUGCCGUGAGGAGUAAAUGAGCUGUUGCAUGGGAAGCACUUAGCAUGGGGCCUGAUAAAUAGUAAGCCCUUGGUAAUAAUUACAUCUUCCGUGAUGCUAGACACAGAGGGAUUGAAAUGCAUAACAAUAGAGAUGAAACACGAAGAGUGAUAAAUGAAGAUUGAGUGUGCACACCUUCUGGAGGAGCCCUGAUUGAGUAUUUUAAAAUACUACUAAAGUCAUGCCGUGUGACUUCUGAAGCUAGCUCCUAAGAAGUCCUUGCAGCUUCUGCCUGCGACUCUUAGAACACUUGCUUUGAAGGAUGCCAGAUGCUGUCUUAAAAGUCUGAGCACUCUGAAACCAUCAUGCUGUGAGGAAGCCCAAGCUAACCACAUGGGCAAAAAAGAUGCCCUCUGACUGCCACCAUUUGAGACACUCUAAUUAAGAACUGCCUCAUUGAGCCCAUGAGGCCCUGUGAAUGAUAAUAAUAAAUUGUUUUUAACCACU
This 1463-nucleotide long non-coding RNA is filed under the name Homo sapiens (human). RNAcentral's name for it is "long intergenic non-protein coding RNA 964". The record is from RNAcentral. Lineage: Eukaryota; Metazoa; Chordata; Mammalia; Primates; Hominidae.